This 487-nucleotide ribosomal RNA is filed under the name uncultured Methanomethylovorans sp. RNAcentral's name for it is "bacterial SSU rRNA". It matches the Rfam family "Archaeal small subunit ribosomal RNA", at positions 852 to 1338 of the family's 1478-position model. Lineage: Archaea; Methanobacteriati; Methanobacteriota; Methanomicrobia; Methanosarcinales; Methanosarcinaceae. The record is from RNAcentral.
AAACUUAAAGGAAUUGACGGGGGAGCACUACAACGGGUGGAGCCUGCGGUUUAAUUGGACUACAACGCCGGAAAACUCACCGGGGGCGACAGCAAUAUGUAGGUCAAGCUAAAGACUUUACCAGAAUCGCUGAGAGGAGGUGCAUGGCCGUCGUCAGUUCGUACUGUGAAGCAUCCUGUUAAGUCAGGCAACGAGCGAGACCCGUGCCCACUGUUGCCAGCAUGUCCUUCGGGAUGAUGGGUACUCUGUGGGACCGCCGAUGCUAAAUCGGAGGAAGGUGCGGGCUACGGUAGGUCAGUAUGCCCCGAAUCUCCCGGGCUACACGCGGGCUACAAUGACUGGGACAAUGGGCUCCUACCCCGAAAGGGGAUGGUAAUCUCAUAAACCCAGCCUUAGUUCGGAUCGAGGGCUGUAACCCGCCCUCGUGAAGCUGGAAUCCGUAGUAAUCGCGUUUCAACAUAGCGCGGUGAAUACGUCCCUGCUCCUU